RNAcentral lists this ribosomal RNA (484 nucleotides) under uncultured bacterium. RNAcentral describes it as "partial 16S ribosomal RNA". It matches the Rfam family "Bacterial small subunit ribosomal RNA", at positions 30 to 507 of the family's 1533-position model. The record is from RNAcentral.
AUUGAACGCUGGCGGCAGGCCUAACACAUGCAAGUCGAGCGGAUGAAGGGAGCUUGCUCCUGGAUUCAGCGGCGGACGGGUGAGUAAUGCCUAGGAAUCUGCCUGGUAGUGGGGGAUAACGUCCGGAAACGGGCGCUAAUACCGCAUACGUCCUGAGGGAGAAAGUGGGGGAUCUUCGGACCUCACGCUAUCAGAUGAGCCUAGGUCGGAUUAGCUAGUUGGUGGGGUAAAGGCCUACCAAGGCGACGAUCCGUAACUGGUCUGAGAGGAUGAUCAGUCACACUGGAACUGAGACACGGUCCAGACUCCUACGGGAGGCAGCAGUGGGGAAUAUUGGACAGUGGGCGAAAGCCUGAUCCAGCCAUGCCGCGUGUGUGAAGAAGGUCUUCGGAUUGUAAAGCACUUUAAGUGGGGAGGAAGGGCAGUAAGUUAAUACCUUGCUGUUUUGACGUUACCAACAGAAUAAGCACCGGCUAACUUCGUG